CGGAUAGUAGUUUGAGGUAAAAACAAGCAAUCUGUCGAGCAUUGCUUAGUGGAGGUUCGAAUCCUUCCUAUCCGA
Molecule: transfer RNA, 75 nt
Filed under: Firmicutes bacterium CAG:882
Lineage: Bacteria; Bacillati; Bacillota
Rfam family: tRNA
About the family: Transfer RNA (tRNA) molecules are approximately 80 nucleotides in length. Their secondary structure includes four short double-helical elements and three loops (D, anti-codon, and T loops). Further hydrogen bonds mediate the characteristic L-shaped molecular structure. tRNAs have two regions of fundamental functional importance: the anti-codon, which is responsible for specific mRNA codon recognition, and the 3' end, to which the tRNAs corresponding amino acid is attached (by aminoacyl-tRNA synthetases). tRNAs cope with the degeneracy of the genetic code in two manners: having more than one tRNA (with a specific anti-codon) for a particular amino acid; and 'wobble' base-pairing, i.e. permitting non-standard base-pairing at the 3rd anti-codon position.
Source: Rfam by way of RNAcentral